GACGAACGCUGGCGGCGUGCUUAACACAUGCAAGUCGAACGGGUCUGCCCUGUUUUUUGCGGGGUGGGUCAGUGGCGAACGGGUGAGUAACACGUGAGUAACCUGCCCCUCACUUCUGGAUAACCGCUUGAAAGGGUGGCUAAUACGGGGUGUUCUGGCUGUGCCGCAUGGUGUGGCUGGGAAAGAUUCACUUUUGUGGUGUUUUGGUGGGGGAUGGGCUCGCGGCCUAUCAGCUUGUUGGUGGGGUGAUGGCCUGCCAAGGCUUUGACGGGUAGCCGGCCUGGGAGGGUGGGCGGUCACACUGGGACGGAGAUACGGCCCAGACUCCUGCGGGAGGCAGCAGUGGGGGGUAUUGCACAAUGGGCGGAAGCCUGAUGCAGCGACGUCGCGUGAGGGAUGGAGGCCUGCGGGUUGUGAACCUCUUUCGCCGGUGAAGAAGGUCCUGCUCUUUGUGGGGGGGUUGACGGUAGCCGGGUUAUGAAGCGCCGGCUAACUACGUG
RNAcentral lists this ribosomal RNA (500 nucleotides) under uncultured bacterium. Its description in RNAcentral is "partial 16S ribosomal RNA". It matches the Rfam family "Bacterial small subunit ribosomal RNA", at positions 28 to 507 of the family's 1533-position model. The record is from RNAcentral.